CAGUCCAUCAUCAGCACGGUACGCAAUGAGCUGAUCAGAAUGACCGACAAACCGAUGGACGGAACGAGCUCGCAAUGACGCGACGGCCAUCAAACACACGCUCCUCGUGGAAAAGAGCGCGUACUGGAGCGAAUGUGUGUGCAGCUGAACCUUCUAGCAGCCCGGUGACGGCUAUGAACCCCGGGCAGGUUGAUAUUUAAAGUCAACCACCCUACUAGACCAUCACGAGCGACAGACAACCGAGCAACACACCCCAUCGAACGGGCUAAAGGGGUUUCGUAAGUUUAUAUGCCGCCGCCGUUUAAUGAUGUACGCGCGCAUUGCGGGAUAAUCGAAUGUCCUUACCGAUGAUAAACACGAACGAACAUGGCCAUCUUUCCGGCAGGCAUAUCUUUAUAUGUUUCAACUAUAAAGCGUUAGCUGCACAAUAAGCAAUUGAGGACAGACACUAAAAUAGACCGAAAAAGAUAAAAUGUAAAUGAUGAAAAAGAUGUAAUUGAAUUCAUUCCAUUACAACCAGACACGCACUCUGCUCUCCUGGUAGUCGAGUCGAGGUUUUAAAUUUCGCUGUGGGAAAUAAAUUAAAUUUAGCGACAUCCGUCAGCUUAUUUUGA
Molecule: long non-coding RNA, 614 nt
Organism: Anopheles stephensi (Asian malaria mosquito)
Lineage: Eukaryota; Metazoa; Arthropoda; Insecta; Diptera; Culicidae
Exons: 2
Source: RefSeq, a predicted model, not a curated record